CGAUGUGGGGCGAUGUGCCGCUGCUGUCCUCGCUGCUGUCCCGCUGCUGUCCCCGCUGCUGCCCCGCAAUGUUCCUCUUAGUGCACAGCCAACACAGCCACCAGCCGUGUGGGCCUCGGCCGCGCCAUCCCGCCCCUUCUCCUCCCAUCCCGCCCUCGGUCCACGUUUCCCCGGCGGUGUGUUAAUUCCCGACACAAAUGAGAUGCAACAUGGGCAGCACAAGCGUCCUCGAACUGCCCCGCCAACGUGACCCAGUUCUGAAUGAGCAGCACCAGCUUGCUGGGGGAGAAAGGAGCCUGUCACUAUUCAGCCCCUGACCCCUCUGCUCCAGGCUGCUAAUGAAGGAGCCUCAUUAACACCAAAGAUAAAUCACCCUGCCUUGAAAAGUUUCCAGUCUGCCAGCCAAAUCCUGGGAAUCUGAAACAGCGGGAGGCAACUGGUGCAGCAGAACAGCUCCAUGCUGACCCAGACCCCACCCCUGGAAUUUGGCAUCCACAGCUGGAGUCUCCCCCCCUCAGCAGCACCAGGAGAGAAGUGAGGCUGGGAUCAGCAACAUGGCUCUAAUCCUGGAACAUUAAUAGGAUCAUUGGGAAGAGCCUGACUUCUGCAACUCCAGCCUGAGACAGAGGGACAGACCCUUCCCCUGUGACAGAUCCUUGCGACUUUAGAGCAGUUUUUGAAGACAGGUGCCAAGAAGCAUCACCAAACCCAUGGUAGCUAGAUUUUUGGUAGAAAACAGAGGCAGAAAUUCCCUGGAGCUGAGCAGUUCAGUCCCUGGAUGCGGUGUGGGACUAAUCCAGCCAGCCUUGCUGCUCCAGCCCUGCAGAGUGAGCAGGUUGUGGGUGACACUUGGCAGGUGACACUGCCUCAGUGGCACCUCUGAGCUCCUGAGACACUGGUGGCAAACAGCUUUUCUUUGAAAGCCUUUUCAGCUCUAAUGCAGGGAAGGGAAGAUUGUCUCAAACCCACUCAUCAGCUGAUGAUGUUCUUGAGGAGAAGCUCGUUUGCAGUGGGAUGAGCUGAGCCACCGCCGUGUCCAGCAGUCCCCUGGGUGCAGCAGGGUGAGGCUCCCACAGCUUCCUCUGCCUCCCUUCCCGAGUUCAAAGGGAGCAAACACAGGAGUGUGACACAAAGGAGCUCUUCUGCAGCUCCUGCUCCGACCAGACCGACCGACUCGAGGGUGAGCCCCAGUGCUAACGAUGGCCUCUCCUUAAUGCAGGCUGGCUGCUUCCCAGAGCAGCUGAGAUCACAGCCACAGCAGCCAAAUGGGUGGCAGGCAGAAGGGUUUGAGGGCUGACUCUUCAUGCUCAUGGGUUUCCAUGUGCUCCUCCACAGCACGGGGACUCUCUCCUCAUCCCUCAUCGCUUCUACAGCGAUGCAAGGUGAAAAAACAAUUGGAGGCAGGAUGGCAAAUCCCACCUCAUGGCUAAAGAGGUGUCAGUGGAGAGAGGGUGAAGGGAUGGAGAGGCAGAAGAAGAAGGAGAAGAAGAAGG
Taeniopygia guttata (zebra finch) is the source of this 1493-nucleotide non-coding RNA. The record is from RefSeq and is a predicted model, not a curated record. Lineage: Eukaryota; Metazoa; Chordata; Aves; Passeriformes; Estrildidae.